RNAcentral lists this ribosomal RNA (254 nucleotides) under uncultured bacterium. Its description in RNAcentral is "partial 16S ribosomal RNA". It matches the Rfam family "Bacterial small subunit ribosomal RNA", at positions 524 to 776 of the family's 1533-position model. The record is from RNAcentral.
UACGUAGGGCGCGAGCGUUGUCCGGAAUUAUUGGGCGUAAAGAGCUCGUAGGCGGUGUGUCGCGUCGGCCGUGAAAACCUGCAGCUUAACUGUGGGCUUGCGGUCGAUACGGGCAUCACUGGAGUUCGGCAGGGGAGACUGGAAUUCCUGGUGUAGCGGUGAAAUGCGCAGAUAUCAGGAGGAACACCGAUGGCGAAGGCAGGUCUCUGGGCCACUACUGACGCUGAGAAGCGAAAGCAUGGGGAGCGAACAGG